GAAUUCUAAAAACUGUUGAAGUCCAGGGCCUAUGACUAUCUUAUGUCUCUCCUGGGAUGAAGACACAUCACGGUGUUGGGCUGAAUCCUGCCUGGUGCAUCUGCAUGUUUAUUCUGGGAACCAGUUAACAGGGACAGCGAGGAGCAGCACUGACAAGCAACAGCUUUGGAGGAAGGCAGUCAUGUAUUUAAAAAGGAAAAGCCACCACGAAGAAGCCCACAAAAAAGCCACAUUAUUUAUUUUUCUGGGAGGUUAAAGUCGCAGCUGGGAGCGUAUCUGGGAGAAGGGAGGAGCAUGUAAGAACUGGAGUAUUCCCAGUGUGUUUCCACUGGCUGGCCCUGGGAUCUGCAG
Long non-coding RNA from Poecile atricapillus (Black-capped chickadee), 351 nucleotides. RefSeq lists it as uncharacterized. The record is from RefSeq and is a predicted model, not a curated record. The transcript has 3 exons. Lineage: Eukaryota; Metazoa; Chordata; Aves; Passeriformes; Paridae.